This 432-nucleotide ribosomal RNA is filed under the name uncultured bacterium. RNAcentral describes it as "partial 16S ribosomal RNA". It matches the Rfam family "Bacterial small subunit ribosomal RNA", at positions 29 to 506 of the family's 1533-position model. The record is from RNAcentral.
AACGAACGCUGGCGGCAUGCCUAACACAUGCAAGUCGAACGAGACCUUCGGGUCUAGUGGCGCACGGGUGCGUAACGCGUGGGAACCUGCCCUUAGGUUCGGAAUAACUCCCCGAAAGGGGUGCUAAUACCGGAUAAUGUCUUCGGACCAAAGAUUUAUCGCCUUUGGAUGGGCCCGCGUUGGAUUAGCUAGUUGGUAGGGUAAAAGCCUACCAAGGCGACGAUCCAUAGCUGGUCUGAGGGGAUGAUCAGCCACACUGGGACUGAGACACGGCCCAGACUCCUACGGGAGGCAGCAGUGGGGAAUAUGGGACAAUGGGCGAAAGCCUGAUCCAGCAAUGCCGCGUGAGUGAUGAAGGCCUUAGGGUUGUAAAGCUCUUUUACCCGGGAUGAUAAUGACAGUACCGGGAGAAUAAGCUCCGGCGAACUCCGU